AAACAAAUAUGUUAUACCGUAGACAGCAGGAGCGAUUACGUCGCUUAAAUAUCCUGCCGAGGUGUUUAUAGACAGAUGAGACGAUCCGUAAGAUUUCCAUUUGUUAUAUAAAGCUCCCAUGUCUGCAUGGGAGCUUUUACUUUAU
This 145-nucleotide small RNA is filed under the name Oceanobacillus massiliensis. Its description in RNAcentral is "Ribosomal protein L10 leader". It matches the Rfam family "Ribosomal protein L10 leader". From Rfam's summary of the family: This family is a putative r-protein leader autoregulatory structure found in B. subtilis and other low-GC Gram-positive bacteria. It is located in the 5' untranslated regions of mRNAs encoding ribosomal proteins L10 and L12 (rplJ-rplL). A Rho-independent transcription terminator structure that is probably involved in regulation is included at the 3' end. Lineage: Bacteria; Bacillati; Bacillota; Bacilli; Caryophanales; Bacillaceae. The record is from RNAcentral.